RNAcentral lists this ribosomal RNA (490 nucleotides) under uncultured bacterium. RNAcentral describes it as "partial 16S ribosomal RNA". It matches the Rfam family "Bacterial small subunit ribosomal RNA", at positions 30 to 507 of the family's 1533-position model. The record is from RNAcentral.
AUUGAACGCUGGCGGCAGGCCUAACACAUGCAAGUCGAACGGUAACAGGAAGAAGCUUGCUUCUUUGCUGACGAGUGGCGGACGGGUGAGUAAUGUCUGGGAAACUGCCUGAUGGAGGGGGAUAACUACUGGAAACGGUAGCUAAUACCGCAUAACGUCGCAAGACCAAAGAGGGGGACCUUCGUGCCUCUUGCCAUCGGAUGUGCCCAGAUGGGAUUAGCUAGUAGGUGGGGUAACGGCUCACCUAGGCGACGAUCCCUAGCUGGUCUGAGAGGAUGACCAGCGACACUGGAACUGAGACACGGUCCAGACUCCUACGGGAGGCAGCAGUGGGGAAUAUUGCACAAUGGGCGCAAGCCUGAUGCAGCCAUGCCGCGUGUAUGAAGAAGGCCUUCGGGUUGUAAAGUACUUUCAGCGGGGAGGAAGGGAGUAAAGUUAAUACCUUUGCUCAUUGACGUUACCCGCAGAAGAAGCACCGGCUAACUCCGUG